AUCGCUUCUCGGCCUUUUGGCUAAGAUCAAGUGUGAUGAUCUGAUUAGGAUUUUUUGGGGGGGGAGAGGUCUCAGUAUGUUGCCCUUGGUAGAGUGCUGUGGCGUCACAGCUCACAGCAACCUCAAACUCCUU
Molecule: small nuclear RNA, 133 nt
Filed under: Otolemur garnettii (small-eared galago)
Lineage: Eukaryota; Metazoa; Chordata; Mammalia; Primates; Galagidae
Description: U2 spliceosomal RNA
Rfam family: U2 spliceosomal RNA
About the family: U2 is a small nuclear RNA (snRNA) component of the spliceosome (involved in pre-mRNA splicing). Complementary binding between U2 snRNA (in an area lying towards the 5' end but 3' to hairpin I) and the branchpoint sequence (BPS) of the intron results the bulging out of an unpaired adenosine, on the BPS, which initiates a nucleophilic attack at the intronic 5' splice site, thus starting the first of two transesterification reactions that mediate splicing.
Source: Rfam by way of RNAcentral